Molecule: ribosomal RNA, 468 nt
Filed under: uncultured bacterium
Lineage: Bacteria
Description: partial 16S ribosomal RNA
Rfam family: Bacterial small subunit ribosomal RNA
Source: RNAcentral
GAAGAAGGCAGGAGGCGUGCUUAACACAUGCAAGUCGAACGGAAAGGCCCUGCUUUUGUGGGGUGCUCGAGUGGCGAACGGGUGAGUAACACGUGAGUAACCUGCCCUUGACUUUGGGAUAACUUCAGGAAACUGGGGCUAAUACCGGAUAGGAGCUCCUGCUGCAUGGUGGGGGUUGGAAAGUUUCGGCGGUUGGGGAUGGACUCGCGGCUUAUCAGCUUGUUGGUGGGGUAGUGGCUUACCAAGGCUUUGACGGGUAGCCGGCCUGAGAGGGUGACCGGCCACAUUGGGACUGAGAUACGGCCCAGACUCCUACGGGAGGCAGCAGUGGGGAAUAUUGCACAAUGGGCGGAAGCCUGAUGCAGCAACGCCGCGUGCGGGAUGACGGCCUUCGGGUUGUAAACCGCUUUCGCCUGUGACGAAGCGUGAGUGACGGUAAUGGGUAAAGAAGCACCGGCUAACUACGUG